This 368-nucleotide ribosomal RNA is filed under the name uncultured bacterium. RNAcentral describes it as "bacterial SSU rRNA". It matches the Rfam family "Bacterial small subunit ribosomal RNA", at positions 28 to 391 of the family's 1533-position model. The record is from RNAcentral.
GAUGAACGCUGGCGGCGUGCCUAACACAUGCAAGUCGAACGGAGUGUUGAGAGCUUGCUUUUAACACUUAGUGGCGGACGGGUGAGUAAUGUAUGAGCAACCUGCCUUUCAGAGGGGGACGAACAGUUGGAACGACUGCUAAUACCGCAUAAAGUAUUUAGGAGGCAUCUCUUGAAUACCAAGGAGCAAUCCGCUGAAGAUGGGCUCAUAUCUGAUUAGCUAGUUGGUGAGGUAACGGCUCACCAAGGCUGCGAUCAGUAGCCGGACUGAGAGGUUGAACGGCCACAUUGGGACUGAGAUACGGCCCAGACUCCUACGGGAGGCAGCAGUGGGGGAAUAUUGGGGCAAUGGGCGAAAGCCUGACCCAG